This 1128-nucleotide long non-coding RNA is filed under the name Zonotrichia albicollis (white-throated sparrow). Its description in RNAcentral is "lncRNA (ENSZALG00000006624.1)". The record is from RNAcentral. Lineage: Eukaryota; Metazoa; Chordata; Aves; Passeriformes; Passerellidae.
AAGCCCAGGAUGACAGUUUAUUUGCCCUCACAAAAGUUAGUCCUGCUGCUGCCCCUUUCCUCUGGAGGUUGUUGGUGGGGUCAUUACAGAGAUCUCUGUUUGCCACACUGCAUCUCCACUGGUGGGACCUGUCCUCUUUUACCUAGCCUGGCUGUGUCCUCCUGCAGCUGAAGUCAGCCAAAGGUGGAUGCAUUGAUGAUGCCACUGUGUUAAUCAUGGUGUUAAAGCAGAAGAAUGCAUCUUGCCUGUGUCAGCACAAGUGAUUGGCUUGGGAAGACUAUACAGGACCUUGUAUGAGCACAGCUGCAGGUGAUACACCUAUUUCUGCAGGUAUCUACAGUUCCAAACCAGACUUGGGACUUCAGGUAACUCUCAGAAAGGAAAGUCUCUGGCUCAGAGCAAAAGCCACCCUAGGACUGUGGGACUCUCAUUCAUCUGACAGUGGAGGAAAAUCGCCCACAGGAUCCUGGGAGAGGGAUGCUGCUGCUGUGUCUGCACUGAGGCCAUGGCCUGGCCCUGUGGCUGAGGUGUGGAAGGGCUCUGCUCCCACAGAUGAAGGGAUGAGCUGCCUGCAGGAAAUCGCCUGGUUUAGCUUCUUCUCCCUGAUGUUUAUGCAAGGAGCCCAUUGCUGUGCUGUCUGACUCCAGAGUGCCCAUGUGAGGGCUGACAACCCCAAAAGUGCAGUGCCCACAUUCCCAGGGCCAAUUCCCUCUGCCUCACAUAGGCAGGCAGUGUCAAACCAGGUAAGGGGGGAAAUAUUAGAAAUUUAGCAACUUAGCACAUGUGCAAACGUGCCAACAGGCAGGAGUCCUCAGAGCAAUAAGAUAAAACAUUUCAAGUUACAGAACAAAAUAUUUUUUCUGGGGUACUGAAAUACAUGUCUUUAAUGUGCUGUUACUGAGGUUUAGUGGCAAACCAGAAGGCUGUUUAAAAAAUCCUUGCUUCAUGUUGCUGUAGUCCACAUCAUUGCCCAACAUAUCAUGAAAGACAAUAUUAUCCAGCUUUUGAAUUGGUUCAAUACCAAUUACUUUUCUGCUUCAAAUAUCAAGAAGCAUUUUUCAAAAAAAUUGGUUUUGCUUAGGUGUUACAGAAAAUAAAAUUAGCAAACAUCAGAACUCUGUCUUGGGA